GGUGGUAACGCUCCCUCGGGGCCUCCAGGAGGACUCCGGGAGACAGGCCACGAGCUCUUCUCUCCUCUACUCCUUCCACUGGGAAGCUGUCCAUUGCAGCCUGGGGAGCCACGGGGCUCAGGGAUGCCUUCCCAAAUGACACCUCUCAGGCUCUUUCCCCUCACAAUAGGGUUGAUCAUUGUCAUACUUGAUUAAGAGACUGGUCGACCCCCCAUCUCUCUGGGUUCAAACCUCCAUCUCUUUGCAUAGCAGCCGUGGGGCCUGUGUGCGUGUGUCACAUAAUCCUACGUUCCAAGGUAGAAGUGGUGUGUUUUCUUUGGCUCAGGAGCUGCUCCUAGUGGCUCGGGACAUCAGUUCCAAGGUCCAGGUCUUGGCUCUGCAAACCGUGGCCUUGCUAUGGAACAAGGGUAACACGGUGGAGCCCUCUGGGGUGGCCGUCAGAGCUAGCUCUCAGCCCAGGGUGUGGCCCACACAGCACCCUCUGGGGGGGGGGGUGACGACACAUUUAAAGGGUCUAGUACAAUGGCUCACAGACAGGAGCCCAGGGCAGCAGCCUUUGUCCUGGUGUUGUUCCUAAUUUACAGAUGCUUUGGACUCUGUGGGUCAUUCGUGGGCGCGUGACCACCGGCUAGCAUGGCCUCCAAGAACGCAGGGCCACGUAAGUAACAGGAGACCUAAUGGCACAUUUUCCCUAGAAGUCCGGCCACUGAUUCUGCCGUGUAAGCCAGAUCUAAACCUGGACUAGAACCUAUCUUCUCAAGCCUAUCCCUAGCUUUCCACAGCUAUAAGGACAAAGGACAAACAAAUAUUGAACGUGGCCUGCGUGACCCUAAUAUUCCUGGCCUAUGUGGUCUGCCUCUGCUUGAUUCCCCUGCCUCAGCUCUAGAAGGUCCUCUCUCAUUCUUGGCUCCAGUCACGCGACCCCAGCCCCUUCACGAUGCUGGUGUCCUUCUUCCUCUACCCUCCGUGCCUGCCAGGGCCCCUGCAUGGUGAGUGGGUGCCGGGUGCACGACGCUCCCUUUCCUCUCCACUCCCCUCCCUUGGUAACUUGGAACUUUUCCUUUGUGGAUUGAACAUCAAAUGGGGGUGGCACGGACAUGCCCCGGGCUUCCAAGGCUCGCAAGAGUCCCAGUGUCAGAAGAAAAGCCUCUGCCCACGCACUGUGGCUGAAGGUGCUGUGGAGAGAGCCGGGCAGCAGCAGCCCACGGACAGCAUCCUGACGGCAUGUUGAACACGCCCAUGGCUCCUGCUCAGUGCUCCCGGCUCCAUCCCGGGUGAGCUGCACUCACGACCUCCUUCAGCCCUCCAGUGACGAUGCGGUUAUGUUUAGCCCUGAUUCAGACCCGGGGGAACCAAGGCCCAGAGAAGUUAGUGGUGCAGAGAGAAGUCACAAAGCAUUGCUGGAAGAGUGGGGGCUCAAGACCAGACCUGACUGGACAAGCAUUUACUGAACAUGCCCACCACCGUGCGAGACCCCGGAGUUCCCCCUAUGACGAUGGGCAUGCUCCCGACAGACUUGCAGUCUGACUGGAGAGUCAGAAUUGGGCCUCUUUUUAAAGUGUCCUUCCUGGCGUCCAGAACAAUGAAGCGCGUAACUAGGACCUGCUGGUGAUGUGAUUACUGCCUGCCACCCUGGACCCCGCAUCCCAUCCACCGGAGGCAUGGACUUUCUCUAAGGGAGGUGCCUUGCUGCUCAGAUACUGCAAGUCCAGGAAAUGCUAAACUUUUGAGAAGAGAAACACCUACUCCUCUAGAGCAUCCUGUAGGGGUUGGUGGAGCACAGUCCAGAUCUCCCACCUGCGAGACCCUCUUGGCUCAUGCUGUCCCUUUCCUCCCAGAAAGGAGCAUCCUGGCCCAGGCCACCCCUGGUCUAGCCCCUUUUACAGCACACGGAGCUUGAGAGACAACCAUGGUGAGACCCAGAUCCACCUCAGACACCUGCUAGAUUCCUUGGCUUGAGGAAUUGCUGCAGGUGGAAGCCCAAGUUGAUCCUGGACAUUCCCCCAGUUGUGUCCAGAUUCUAGAAUCCAGAGACCUGUGAUGCAGGAGUGCCCUGGGCCCCAUCCUCAGCAGAGCUUGCUCCUGUUCCAUCAUGGCUGGAAGAAGACAGGAAAGCAUGAGAUGCCCUCCUAGGAAGCUGCAGGAGUCUGAAGGAGCUGUCCUUGGGCUGUAUGUUUUGUUUCUUCCAGUCCCCCAGAUUUGCAUCUGUACAAUGGGAGUGUUAUUGCUUGAUGUAUCUAAGAAUUUAGCAAAAUGUGAAUUGUGAAUCAUCUGACACUGAAUGCAUCCAGGGAACAUGUUAGAAAACCAACACCCCGAGUAUGUUUGGAAGGUGGACUGUCCAUUUGUCUAUCUUUGAAAAGGCAAAGACAGGAAAGGAGAGGAGAAGAGGGGAGAGGAGAGGGAAGGAGAGGAGUGUGCAUGCUCAUAGAGCUCACAGCCUCUGACUCCUGGUGCCUUUCGCUGGGCACCCACUGAUGGCUCCAGAAAAAAGUAGAGCAGAGCUCAGGUGUAGCUCUGGAGGCAGCUGCCCCGAUCCUUGCGGGGUGCCUCUCUGCUUCUCCUGGGUCCCAGUGAGAAGGAAAUCUCAGCCCUCGGCUUCCCAAGGUCAGAGUCAUUGAAAUUCUCUGUCUGUAUCCCAAUUUUCCAGCUGAGGACUCUUACAGUUGUCAAGACAUAAAGACCCCAAAUGGGCACUUUUCAAGAUGACCAGGAGUGUAUAAUUAGUCCAUUAAAAUUGUCAAGGUGUUACUUUUGGUUAGUUAAAAGAUGUAUCAAAAUCAUUCUGUUGUUAAAGUGCAGACAGUGCGGGCACACGUGCGUGCAUGUGAGAGUGAGUGUGUGUAUGUGUGUGUAUUCGAAAAAGGAUCCAGUACAACCAAUGACUGAGGUCGUGACUUCACCACAAAAAUGCAUCUUGAUCCUGGCCCACUGUCCACAGCAGCCAUCCGGGACACACCCUGGACGGGUGGAAGGAGCCAGCCAAGUUGCCACUGCACCCUGAGGUGUCCCUAAAACUUUGAGGCUCCCACUGCAGGAAGAAACUCUUAACUCUAACUGGUCUCUUCAUUCUAUCCUGAGAUAGUGGAGAACUGUCCUGCACUGAUGAAUCAGGGCACUGGGUUUGCACAUCCUUGGGUGGA
Long non-coding RNA from Marmota monax (woodchuck), 3143 nucleotides. RefSeq lists it as uncharacterized. NCBI's taxonomy places the organism in Eukaryota, Metazoa, Chordata, Mammalia, Rodentia, Sciuridae. The transcript has 3 exons. The record is from RefSeq and is a predicted model, not a curated record.